UGGAAAAUUGUAUUUGCUAGAAUAUUUACUAUAAGGAACCAAGUCCAUUCACUUAUAGCUUUAAAGAAUGAUAGCUGUAAAAAUUGAAUUUGUUUCCCAGUUAUUUUAGGAUUAACCCAUAGAUAGUGACCUCACUAAUCUUGUCUUCCUUCACCUCACUCAUAUAUAAACAAUGUAAACUUCUUUUUUGGGAAAAAUAUUUAAGAUUUGCCUCACUAUCCAUACUACUUUGCAACCGAUUUUGUUG
Molecule: long non-coding RNA, 247 nt
Filed under: Bos taurus (domestic cattle)
Lineage: Eukaryota; Metazoa; Chordata; Mammalia; Artiodactyla; Bovidae
Description: long non-coding RNA NONBTAT020248
Source: RNAcentral